RNAcentral lists this ribosomal RNA (497 nucleotides) under uncultured bacterium. RNAcentral's name for it is "partial 16S ribosomal RNA". It matches the Rfam family "Bacterial small subunit ribosomal RNA", at positions 28 to 507 of the family's 1533-position model. The record is from RNAcentral.
GAUGAACGCUGGCGGCGUGCCUAAUACAUGCAAGUCGAGCGAACGGACGAGAAGCUUGCUUCUCUGAUGUUAGCGGCGGACGGGUGAGUAACACGUGGAUAACCUACCUAUAAGACUGGGAUAACUUCGGGAAACCGGAGCUAAUACCGGAUAAUAUUUUGAACCGCAUGGUUCAAAAGUGAAAGACGGUCUUGCUGUCACUUAUAGAUGGAUCCGCGCUGCAUUAGCUAGUUGGUAAGGUAACGGCUUACCAAGGCAACGAUGCAUAGCCGACCUGAGAGGGUGAUCGGCCACACUGGAACUUGGACACGGACCAGACUCCUACGGGAGGCAGCAGUAGGGAAUCUUCGGCAAUGGGCGGAAGCAUGGCGGAGCAACGCCGCGUGAGUGAUGAAGGUCUUCGGAGCGUAAAACUCUGUUAUUGGGGAAGAACAUAUGUGUAAGUAACUGUGCACAGCUUGACGGUACCUAAUCAGAAAGCCACGGCUAACUACGUG